AGUGAACGCUGGCGGCGUGCCUAAUACAUGCAAGUCGAACGGAGAUUAAGUAGCUUGCUAUUUAAUCUUAGUGGCGCACGGGUGAGUAAUAUAUAGCUAACUUGCCCAUUACUAAGGGACAACAGUUGGAAACGACUGCUAAUACCUUAUACUCCGUAUCUAUAUAAGUAGAUACGGGAAAGUUUUUCGGUAAUGGAUAGGGCUAUAUCGUAUCAGCUAGUUGGUAAGGUAAUGGCUUACCAAGGCUAUGACGCGUAACUGGUCUGAGAGGAUGAUCAGUCACACUGGAACUGAGACACGGUCCAGACUCCUACGGGAGGCAGCAGUAGGGAAUAUUGCUCAAUGGGGGAAACCCUGAAGCAGCAACGCCGCGUGGAGGAUGACACUUUUCGGAGCGUAAACUCCUUUUCUUGGGAAAGAAUUAUGAC
This 428-nucleotide ribosomal RNA is filed under the name Campylobacter showae. RNAcentral describes it as "bacterial SSU rRNA". It matches the Rfam family "Bacterial small subunit ribosomal RNA", at positions 29 to 456 of the family's 1533-position model. The record is from RNAcentral. Lineage: Bacteria; Pseudomonadati; Campylobacterota; Epsilonproteobacteria; Campylobacterales; Campylobacteraceae.